RNAcentral lists this ribosomal RNA (481 nucleotides) under uncultured bacterium. RNAcentral describes it as "partial 16S ribosomal RNA". It matches the Rfam family "Bacterial small subunit ribosomal RNA", at positions 28 to 523 of the family's 1533-position model. The record is from RNAcentral.
GACGAACGCUGGCGGCGUGCUUAACACAUGCAAGUCGAACGAUGGAGGAGAGCUUGCUCUCCGGAUUAGUGGCGAACGGGUGAGUAACACGUGACUAACCUGCCCCUUUCUCUGGGAUAACGCUCCGAAAGGAGUGCUAAUACCGGAUACGAACUCUGAACACAUGUUCGGAGUUGGAAAGUUUUUCGGAAAGGGAUGGAGUCGCGGCCUAUCAGCGUGUUGGUGAGGUAGCGGCUCACCAAGGCGACGACGGGUAGCCGGCCUGAGAGGGCGACCGGCCACACUGGGACUGAGACACGGCCCAGACUCCUACGGGAGGCAGCAGUGGGGAAUAUUGCACAAUGGGCGAAAGCCUGAUGCAGCGACGCCGCGUGAGGGAUGAAGGUCUUCGGAUUGUAAACCUCUUUCAGUAGGGACGAAGCGAAAGUGACGGUACCUAAAGAAAAAGCACCGGCUAACUACGUGCCAGCCGCCGCGGUAA